AGAGUUUGAUCAUGGCUCAAAUUGAACGCUGGCGGCAGGCCUAACACAUGCAAGUCGAGCGGCAGCACGGGUACUUGUACCUGGUGGCGAGCGGCGGACGGGUGAGUAAUGCCUAGGAAUCUGCCUGGUAGUGGGGGAUAACGUCCGGAAACGGGCGCUAAUACCGCAUACGUCCUACGGGAGAAAGUGGGGGAUCUUCGGACCUCACGCUAUCAGAUGAGCCUAGGUCGGAUUAGCUAGUUGGUGAGGUAAUGGCUCACCAAGGCUACGAUCCGUAACUGGUCUGAGAGGAUGAUCAGUCACACUGGAACUGAGACACGGUCCAGACUCCUACGGGAGGCAGCAGUGGGGAAUAUUGGACAAUGGGCGAAAGCCUGAUCCAGCCAUGCCGCGUGUGUGAAGAAGGUCUUCGGAUUGUAAAGCACUUUAAGUUGGGAGGAAGGGUACUUACCUAAUACGUGAGUAUUUUGACGUUACCGACAGAAUAAGCACCGGCUAACUCUGUGCCAGCAGCCGCGGUAAUACAGAGGGUGCAAGCGUUAAUCGGAAUUACUGGGCGUAAAGCGCGCGUAGGUGGUUUGUUAAGUUGGAUGUGAAAGCCCCGGGCUCAACCUGGGAACUGCAUCCAAAACUGGCAAGCUAGAGUAUGGUAGAGGGUGGUGGAAUUUCCUGUGUAGCGGUGAAAUGCGUAGAUAUAGGAAGGAACACCAGUGGCGAAGGCGACCACCUGUACUGAUACUGAC
This 743-nucleotide ribosomal RNA is filed under the name Pseudomonas protegens. RNAcentral's name for it is "bacterial SSU rRNA". It matches the Rfam family "Bacterial small subunit ribosomal RNA", at positions 8 to 744 of the family's 1533-position model. The record is from RNAcentral. Lineage: Bacteria; Pseudomonadati; Pseudomonadota; Gammaproteobacteria; Pseudomonadales; Pseudomonadaceae.